Molecule: ribosomal RNA, 305 nt
Filed under: uncultured bacterium
Lineage: Bacteria
Description: bacterial SSU rRNA
Rfam family: Bacterial small subunit ribosomal RNA
Source: RNAcentral
UAUCACCUACGGGGCGCAGCAGUGGGGAAUAUUGCACAAUGGGGGAAACCCUGAUGCAGCGACGCCGCGUGAAGGAAGAAGUAUUUCGGUGUGUAAACUUCUAUCAGCAGGGAAGAAAGACGGUACCUGACUAAGAAGCCCCGGCUAACUACGUGCCAGCAGCCGCGGUAAUACGUAGGGGGCAAGCGUUAUCCGGAUUUACUGGGUGUAAAGGGAGCGUAGACGGCAUAGCAAGUCUGAAGUGAAAGCCCGUGGCUCAACCGCGGAACUGCUUUGGAAACUGUUAAGCUGGAGUACUGGAGAGG